GGAGGGGUACCGUAACGGUAACGGACCGGUCUUGAAAACCGGCGCCCUACGGGGCUUGCGGGUUCGAAUCCCGCCCCCUCCGCCA
This 85-nucleotide transfer RNA is filed under the name Bacillota bacterium. RNAcentral's name for it is "tRNA-Ser". It matches the Rfam family "tRNA". Rfam says of the family: Transfer RNA (tRNA) molecules are approximately 80 nucleotides in length. Their secondary structure includes four short double-helical elements and three loops (D, anti-codon, and T loops). Lineage: Bacteria; Bacillati; Bacillota. The record is from RNAcentral.